AACGCGAAGAACCUUACCAGCUCUUGACAUGUCUCGUAUGGGGAUCGGAGACGGUCUCCUUCAGUUCGGCUGGCGAGAACACAGGUGCUGCAUGGCUGUCGUCAGCUCGUGUCGUGAGAUGUUGGGUUAAGUCCCGCAACGAGCGCAACCCUCGCCCUUAGUUGCCAUCAUUCAGUUGGGCACUCUAGGGGGACUGCCGGUGAUAAGCCGAGAGGAAGGUGGGGAUGACGUCAAGUCCUCAUGGCCCUUACGGGCUGGGCUACACACGUGCUACAAUGGCGGUGACAAUGGGAUGCCAACGCGCAAGCGGGAGCAGAUCCUAUAAAAGCCGUCUCAGUUCGGAUUGUUCUCUGCAACUCGAGAGCAUGAAGUUGGAAUCGCUAGUAAUCGUGGAUCAGCACGCCACGGUGAAUACGUUCCCGGGCCUUGUACACACCGGAGUA
RNAcentral lists this ribosomal RNA (443 nucleotides) under uncultured bacterium. Its description in RNAcentral is "bacterial SSU rRNA". It matches the Rfam family "Bacterial small subunit ribosomal RNA", at positions 958 to 1398 of the family's 1533-position model. The record is from RNAcentral.